AUCAAGGGAGAUCUUAGUUUAAAUCGGGUUAUAAUUAUGAUCCUUAUGUUUGUCUAGCUCAUUGGAAACGGACCCUGUGUUUGUAAGCAUAACAGCGAAUAUGCCUUGGCUAGGUGGAAGGAGAAGGAAGAUCCUUUUCUAGAACAGUGUGUGAUCCUGCCUUUGUAUCUUUUCUGAUUGAUGCUAGGCAUGGAUCUCGAGUAAUCUUCCGGUGAUGAGCCAAGAAACUNNN
RNAcentral lists this long non-coding RNA (232 nucleotides) under Hordeum vulgare. RNAcentral's name for it is "long non-coding RNA (HVUL_LNC003190)". The record is from RNAcentral. Lineage: Eukaryota; Viridiplantae; Streptophyta; Magnoliopsida; Poales; Poaceae.